This 385-nucleotide ribosomal RNA is filed under the name Moraxellaceae bacteriumenrichment culture clone MS_ACE_O11. Its description in RNAcentral is "bacterial SSU rRNA". It matches the Rfam family "Bacterial small subunit ribosomal RNA", at positions 50 to 437 of the family's 1533-position model. The record is from RNAcentral. Lineage: Bacteria; Pseudomonadati; Pseudomonadota; Gammaproteobacteria; Moraxellales; Moraxellaceae.
UACACAUGCAAGUCGAGCGGGGAAAAGUAGCUUGCUACUUUACCUAGCGGCGGACGGGUGAGUAAUGCUUAGGAAUCUGCCUAUUAGUGGGGGACAACAUCUCGAAAGGGAUGCUAAUACCGCAUACGUCCUACGGGAGAAAGCAGGGGACCUUCGGGCCUUGCGCUAAUAGAUGAGCCUAAGUCGGAUUAGCUAGUUGGUGGGGUAAAGGCCUACCAAGGCGACGAUCUGUAGCGGGUCUGAGAGGAUGAUCCGCCACACUGGGACUGAGACACGGCCCAGACUCCUACGGGAGGCAGCAGUGGGGAAUAUUGGACAAUGGGGGGAACCCUGAUCCAGCCAUGCCGCGUGUGUGAAGAAGGCCUUUUGGUUGUAAAGCACUUUA